RNAcentral lists this ribosomal RNA (701 nucleotides) under Escherichia coli. RNAcentral describes it as "bacterial LSU rRNA". It matches the Rfam family "Bacterial large subunit ribosomal RNA", at positions 2242 to 2925 of the family's 2925-position model. Lineage: Bacteria; Pseudomonadati; Pseudomonadota; Gammaproteobacteria; Enterobacterales; Enterobacteriaceae. The record is from RNAcentral.
GGGUUGCGGACAGUGUCUGGUGGGUAGUUUGACUGGGGCGGUCUCCUCCUAAAGAGUAACGGAGGAGCACGAAGGUUGGCUAAUCCUGGUCGGACAUCAGGAGGUUAGUGCAAUGGCAUAAGCCAGCUUGACUGCGAGCGUGACGGCGCGAGCAGGUGCGAAAGCAGGUCAUAGUGAUCCGGUGGUUCUGAAUGGAAGGGCCAUCGCUCAACGGAUAAAAGGUACUCCGGGGAUAACAGGCUGAUACCGCCCAAGAGUUCAUAUCGACGGCGGUGUUUGGCACCUCGAUGUCGGCUCAUCACAUCCUGGGGCUGAAGUAGGUCCCAAGGGUAUGGCUGUUCGCCAUUUAAAGUGGUACGCGAGCUGGGUUUAGAACGUCGUGAGACAGUUCGGUCCCUAUCUGCCGUGGGCGCUGGAGAACUGAGGGGGGCUGCUCCUAGUACGAGAGGACCGGAGUGGACGCAUCACUGGUGUUCGGGUUGUCAUGCCAAUGGCACUGCCCGGUAGCUAAAUGCGGAAGAGAUAAGUGCUGAAAGCAUCUAAGCACGAAACUUGCCCCGAGAUGAGUUCUCCCUGACUCCCUGAGAGUCCUGAAGGAACGUUGAAGACGACGACGUUGAUAGGCCGGGUGUGUAAGCGCAGCGAUGCGUUGAGCUAACCGGUACUAAUGAACCGUGAGGCUUAACCUUACAACGCCGAAG